GAUGAACGCUAGCGGGAGGCCUAACACAUGCAAGCCGAGCGGUAGAGUUUCUUCGGAAACUUGAGAGCGGCGCACGGGUGCGUAACACGUGUGCAACCUACCUUUAUCUGGGGGAUAGCCUUUCGAAAGGAAGAUUAAUACCCCAUAAUAUAAUGAUUGGCAUCAAUUAUUAUUGAAAACUCCGGUGGAUAGAGAUGGGCACGCGCAAGAUUAGAUAGUUGGUGAGGUAACGGCUCACCAAGUCAAUGAUCUUUAGGGGUCCUGAGAGGGAGAUCCCCCACACUGGUACUGAGACACGGACCAGACUCCUACGGGAGGCAGCAGUGAGGAAUAUUGGACAAUGGGUGAGAGCCUGAUCCAGCCAUCCCGCGUGAAGGAUGACGGCCCUAUGGAUUGUAAACUUCUUUUGUACAGGGAUAAACCUACCCUCGUGAGGGUAGCUGAAGGGACUGUACGAAUAAGCACCGGCUAACUCCGUG
Molecule: ribosomal RNA, 479 nt
Filed under: uncultured bacterium
Lineage: Bacteria
Description: partial 16S ribosomal RNA
Rfam family: Bacterial small subunit ribosomal RNA
Source: RNAcentral